UCUAAAACAUGUUUUAUAUAAUAUAUUUAUAAUCAGUAAUUGCUUCCUUACUUGGGAUUUCAGGCUAUUAUUUUAAGCUUCAGAACAUCAGUGACUUGUAGUGAUAGAGUGAUUACAAUUCUCUCUUUUCCUUAUUUCUAAAUGGAGAUGGCUUGGAAAACCUGGAUAUUAUCCUCACCUGGAAGAUUAGUUUUCACAUAUUUGAGCACCUGGUUUUAAUACUCUGGACAGGGGACAGAAUUCUGAAUGCUGGCAUUCAAACAGAUGCAUGUCCUGAAACAUCGGUCAGGAUCUCCCAUAAGUGUCCCAGAUAUCUUAGCCAAGCAGAUGUUCACCAUUAUUUUGAGCCAUGGAAAAAUGUAGGAUUCACACUAGAAGAAAUAAUACAGAACAUGGAAGACGUCUGAACUAUUCUCUGUUUGCUUUGUCUUGCAAGUAACGAGGAAUUUGUAUUUUCUGAGUCAGAGCUGGAACUGGAACACAGACACCUCACGUUCUGGAAGGACCUCACUCUUCAGAACCUCCAGCCACCAGGAAAGACAAGGCCUGCACCCCCCUCUCAAAAGGCUGUCCUGUUUUUAUGUAGAAAAGCAACACAUUUCUGUGAAACAGAAGAAGAAAGAAGAGAUCUCUCUGAUGAUAUUCUGCUCAGUUUCUUGUUCUGGCACGUUAUUGUGUCCAGUGAUUGCAGGAGGAAAGGAAGACCUAGCAGCCCUUAAGACGCAAUGGCUGUUGGCUCCAUUGUUUUUCUGGGGGUAGUGUUCAUUCUCGAAUUAUAACACCCAUUCACUCUCAGCCAUGAAGCUUUCAGUUUCUAUGAGAUUUCAGGACUCAUUUCUAUCUAAUAUGAAACCUUAAAGUUUUCCAGGAAAACUGUUGGUGGUAAAAAUCCGCUAUUGUCCAUUGUUGGCACUGAAGAAAGGCUGUUGGAACAUGGCAUGUAGACGUUCCCUCCCACCAUUCCUUCCCAGCAUUAACAGUGUCAUCGCUGACCCAAAUAAAUGCAUUGUUCUCUGAAGCA
Molecule: long non-coding RNA, 1021 nt
Organism: Pezoporus flaviventris
Lineage: Eukaryota; Metazoa; Chordata; Aves; Psittaciformes; Psittacidae
Exons: 3
Source: RefSeq, a predicted model, not a curated record